CAAUCCACUGCCUUAAUCCACUUGGCUACGUCCGCC
This 36-nucleotide transfer RNA is filed under the name Sphaerocarpos michelii. RNAcentral's name for it is "partial tRNA-His". Lineage: Eukaryota; Viridiplantae; Streptophyta; Marchantiopsida; Sphaerocarpales; Sphaerocarpaceae. The record is from RNAcentral.